GGGGUUGUUUAGACUCGACAGGGCGUACUUUCAAAAUAGGCAAGCCGAUCAUGAUGGUACGAUCGUAAAAACUUCCAUCAACCGAUAAGUGCAAACUUCAUCCCAAAGGCCAAGGCCACGUUCGCUUCGGCGUUCGCUCCGUCUUUCGCUUUCGCCCGCGCCUAAUUCGCGCGGACCAUCGGCUCCUCGACUCCCGAUAGAGAACCGCCGGUGUCAUACUUCGGGAAGGUCCGGAGAUUUUCUUCUCGUCUUUCUCCUCCGAUCGCCUUUUGCAGAAGACCAGUCUUCCGCUCUCUUUCGUCUGUUUCAUAGAGAGGAAGGGACCUAAAGCAGACUACGCUUGUAGAAUAUUUUGGAAAAACGUGACUGGACAUGGGUGCAAUUCCCAUCAACUCCACUA
This 400-nucleotide transfer-messenger RNA is filed under the name Candidatus Moraniibacteriota bacterium. It matches the Rfam family "transfer-messenger RNA". From Rfam's summary of the family: Bacterial tmRNA, also known as 10Sa RNA or SsrA, is named for its dual tRNA and mRNA-like properties. Its role is to liberate the mRNA from a stalled ribosome. RNAcentral also lists the same sequence under 1 other name. Lineage: Bacteria; Candidatus Moraniibacteriota. The record is from RNAcentral.